CCGCUGACGAGCGGCGGACGGGUGAGUAAUGCUUAGGAAUCUGCCCAGUAGUGGGGGACAACAGUCGGAAACGGCUGCUAAUACCGCAUACGCCCUACGGGGGAAAGCAGGGGAUCUUCGGACCUUGCGCUAUUGGAUGAGCCUAAGUCGGAUUAGCUAGUUGGUGGGGUAAAGGCCUACCAAGGCGACGAUCCGUAGCUGGUCUGAGAGGAUGAUCAGCCACAUCGGGACUGAGACACGGCCCGAACUCCUACGGGAGGCAGCAGUGGGGAAUAUUGGACAAUGGGGGCAACCCUGAUCCAGCCAUGCCGCGUGUGUGAAGAAGGCUUUCGGGUUGUAAAGCACUUUCAGCGAGGAGGAAGGCCUUAAAGUUAAUACCUUUAAGGAUUGACGUUACUCGCAGAAGAAGCACCGGCUAACUCCGUGCCAGCAGCCGCGGUAAUACGGAGGGUGCAAGCGUUAAUCGGAAUUACUGGGCGUAAAGCGCGCGUAGGUGGUUUGGUAAGCGAGAUGUGAAAGCCCCGGGCUUAACCUGGGAACGGCAUUUCGAACUGUCAGACUAGAGUGUGGUAGAGGGUAGUGGAAUUUCCUGUGUAGCG
This 599-nucleotide ribosomal RNA is filed under the name Marinobacter vinifirmus. Its description in RNAcentral is "bacterial SSU rRNA". It matches the Rfam family "Bacterial small subunit ribosomal RNA", at positions 85 to 680 of the family's 1533-position model. The record is from RNAcentral. Lineage: Bacteria; Pseudomonadati; Pseudomonadota; Gammaproteobacteria; Pseudomonadales; Marinobacteraceae.